This 453-nucleotide ribosomal RNA is filed under the name uncultured bacterium. Its description in RNAcentral is "bacterial SSU rRNA". It matches the Rfam family "Bacterial small subunit ribosomal RNA", at positions 340 to 786 of the family's 1533-position model. The record is from RNAcentral.
UACGGAAGGCAGCAGUGGGGAAUAUUGCACAAUGGGCGCAAGCCUGAUGCAGCCAUGCCGCGUGUAUGAAGAAGGCCUUCGGGUUGUAAAGUACUUUCAGUCGUGAGGAAGGUGUUAAGGUUAAUAACCUUAGCAAUUGACGUUAGCGACAGAAGAAGCACCGGCUAACUCCGUGCCAGCAGCCGCGGUAAUACGGAGGGUGCGAGCGUUAAUCGGAAUUACUGGGCGUAAAGGGCACGCAGGCGGUUAAUUAAGUUGGAUGUGAAAUCCCCGGGCUUAACCUGGGAAUGGCAUUCAAGACUGGUUAGCUAGAGUCUUGUAGAGGGGGUAGAAUUCCAUGUGUAGCGGUGAAAUGCGUAGAGAUGUGGAGGAAUACCGGUGGCGAAGGCGGCCCCUGGGACAAGACUGACGCUCAUGUGCGAAAGCGUGGGGAGCAAACGAGGAUUAGAUACC